This 483-nucleotide ribosomal RNA is filed under the name uncultured bacterium. RNAcentral describes it as "partial 16S ribosomal RNA". It matches the Rfam family "Bacterial small subunit ribosomal RNA", at positions 28 to 507 of the family's 1533-position model. The record is from RNAcentral.
GACGAACGCUGGCGGCGUGCUUAACACAUGCAAGUCGAACGCUGAAGCUCAGCUUUUGUUGGGUGGAUGAGUGGCGAACGGGUGAGUAACACGUGAGUAACCUGCCCCCUUCUUUGGGAUAACGCCCGGAAACGGGUGCUAAUACUGGAUAUUCACUGGUCUUCGCAUGGGGGUUGGUGGAAAGGGUUUUUCUGGUGGGGGAUGGGCUCGCGGCCUAUCAGCUUGUUGGUGGGGUGAUGGCCUACCAAGGCUUUGACGGGUAGCCGGCCUGAGAGGGUGACCGGUCACGUUGGGACUGAGAUACGGCCCAGACUCCUACGGGAGGCAGCAGUGGGGAAUAUUGCACAAUGGGCGCAAGCCUGAUGCAGCGACGCCGCGUGAGGGAUGGAGGCCUUCGGGUUGUGAACCUCUUUCGCUCAUGGUCAAGCCGCAACAAUGGUUGUGGUGAGGGUAGUGGGUAAAGAAGCGCCGGCUAACUACGUG